This is a long non-coding RNA of Canis lupus familiaris (dog), 4813 nucleotides long. RefSeq lists it as uncharacterized. Lineage: Eukaryota; Metazoa; Chordata; Mammalia; Carnivora; Canidae. The record is from RefSeq and is a predicted model, not a curated record. The transcript has 5 exons.
CACAUCUCCUCUUUACCACAAACCAGGAUAGGUGGUACUAUCCUCCCUUAUGGAACAGGAAAGGAGUCUCUCCCUUAAGAAUCUGUUAUUUAAUUGAAGAUAAAGAUGAAGCCUCUGUGUUGUCUUCCUUAAUUGGAUUUCUCUGCUUCCUGGUGUUCAUCCCCUCAGGGAACACAUGACCCAAACACAACCACCAACUGUGUCUUUGACAUGUACAGGCGGAAAGGGGGAGCUGGGCUUUUGUCUGCCGGGAGUCUUUCAACUCGCCUGUCACCCCAAGCUGCAAAACUCAACAAUGGGUCGGAUGAGCAGGACCACAGCAGACAGUUUGCUAAAUGGACUUGGGAACAGGUACUAUUUCCACCCACGUCGGGCUGAUUUGGUGCAUCUGCACUGUAGUGCUUUGGUCAGUGAAGGUGAUGACAACAGAAGUGGUGAAGAAAGUGCUUACGGCCAACAUCUACUGGGUUCUUGCCACGUGCCAGGCACUUCCCUAACUGCUUUGCACGGACACGCCAGGCUAACCCUACAAUAACCCCGAGAAUGUGACAGCAGUUUCUCAAAUGUUUGUUGAAUGAACAGAAGAACAACCCAAGGAGGCAGGUACUAUUAUCACUCCCCAUUCUACAGAUGAGGGAGCAGAGGCCCUCCCGGAUGACUGACUUUCUGAAGGUCUCAAAGGUAGCAAACAGCAGAGGCAGGUUUUGACCCAAUGCUUGCCUCCCAACUGUGGUGCUGCACCAGCUCUACCUGGUAUACCGGGCACAUGGUGCACGUUGACCCCAUUUCACCUCUGCGUGUUCUCCCCAUGUUAGAGCCUCUGCAGCCAGGGUCACUGUGUACCAGGGCCAGGGUCUGUGGGGCAUCCCAAUCCCCUGCUCCUACCAUAGUCGUUCUCAUCAGCAUGCUCAUGUCUGGUCAUGCAUUUUUAAAUUUAGGGUAAGUAGAGCAUUCCUAAGCAGGACCUAUCUCAUGGAGGUGAUGGAAACCCCCUGAAGCAGGAAUGUACAGGCUUGUCAACUGGUUAUGUGGGACCCAGGAAAAUCAUGUGAUUGCAUCGGUGUCGGCUCCUUGGCGGUUUCUCGGAUUCACGAUCCUGGCACAACGGUUAUAAGGAAAGGAGGGUGCACACAGCACACAGUUGGCCCAGCACACAGUGGGUGCAGCACACAGUUGCCCAGCACACCGUGGGCAUAGCACACUAUUGAGUUCAAGAAUUUACCUCCCGGCAUCUGGGCAGUGGGGAAGCUGCAGGGAUGAUCCCUGUCUGCCAGGCCACCUGCUUUGAGGGCUGGUGCCUUUACUCACUACCCACCCUCCAGGCACUGUGUCCUACAGCUGUCCUCUUUGGUAACAUGCAGCCAUUUGUAAAUUACCUGUACAAUUUCUGAUCUGCCCUUAGCUGUAAGCUCCAUAUGGGAAGAGCAAUGUUCAUAUCAGUCACCGCUUUUCUCCCAGCUUCUAACACAGUGCCUGGCCUAAGAUAGGCAUUCAGUAAGUACCAGCUGGGUUGAACUGAACCUCACCACUCCCUUCCUCUGGAAGAGUACAAUCAUAGCUUUAAAGGGCACCAUCCUGUUCCGGGCCUAAGAGAACUUGAAGAGAAAACCCCAGAAGGUUCCUUCUUUGAGAGGCUGUGGUGACCUCCGAGAUGCUCCAGCAAAGGCUCAGAGCCUGGUCCCUAAAGCAAGUGAUGGUGAGUAUGGGGGAUGUCUUCUUCCUCCGCAGAAGGUGCUAAAUGGGGAAGAGAGCUGAGUUUCAGGCUGCUGGGAGUUAGCAGAACUGGAAGUCGUAUCAUUCUGAGUUUCUACUCAUCUGGUCCCACACAGACAUUCCUGGCACCUUGUGCAUGCCUGGCUUGGGGUGAGACCCUGAAGACACAGUGAUGGGAGAUAUGGCUAGUGCUGUUAGGGGUCUGACACCCAUGCUGUCGGCCUUGUGGCAGGGAGUCAGGACAAACAGAAUAGGAGGCACAAUUGCAAAAAUUUAGAAAGACUCCGCAGCCUCUGAAACUUGCCCACAUCUCAUAAUUUUUGUCUCCUCUGAUCGUCCAGGUGAGUAGCACUAGCGCAUAGUCGUGAAGCCGAGGUCAGGCGUAGGUCUGAGGCCUCACUCUGCUGCCCGGGGUAAGGGUCACUGGCUGAGGCUGAGUCAUGUCCUCUGUCACGUGGGGGUGGCGUGUGUCUUCCCCGUGGGGGUUGGUGUAGAGAAUUAAUGAGAACAUGCGUGUGGUAGGUCUGUGCAGACCCUGUGAGCCCGAUUCUUAUUUUAGUGACCAGCUCUGAGUUCUCAGCAGGGGAAGGCAGGCUGAGGGCUGCUGAGGAGGAAGGAACGAGUAUGGAGCUCUGGGAAAGAAGCCCCAGGGAAGGUCCAGGUUCAGGCUCCAGCCGUGCCAGUAGCUUGUGACAAGGGCUCAGCGGGAAGAGGUCUCUAAUAGGAGCAUCUUUUGGAACUUACUUGUUUCUAAACACCACAUGCUUAGCUGGGCUGGAGCAAGUUCCCUCAGGAGGACAAACAGAAGGCAUUGCUGGAAAUCUGAGGGGCCUCGGGCUCUCAGGAGAAUGGGCCCAACUUCUCAGGGGGACCGCUACCAUGCAGGGUCUGGGCCCUCGCCUUACUCACAGGGUGAGAGUAUCCCCCCACCUCCAGCAAUUCUCAGCACCAGCCUUUCUGAGAGCUGGUGGGAGGAGAGUGGACCCACUGUUCCCACACUCCUGCUCCCCUCCCCUCCAGGCAUGAAAAAGGAAGGCUGAGCAAGGUGAAGAAGUUGCCAGUAGAGCCUCAAGGAUCCAGAGCCGCUGGGCGUGGGAAGCCAUGGGCAGUAGGCUGUGGCGGGCGCGUGAGGAACAGCAGAGAUGCGCUGAGCAUGGUGGUGUUCUCUGGACCCCUCAUGACCUCUGCUACUAAGAACAGCCCACCUGACCUGCUCCGGAGACCAUCUGCAGCAGUAUUCCUGGUGUCUUUGUCCACAGGGACAUGAACAUAUGUUCACAGAAGUAAACCUCCAUCCACUCCCUUCUCAACCAUUGAAUGUGAUUGAAAGGUUCACCUGCCAAUAGGUGGGCUGACCCAUGUGACCCUCUGCUGAAAUCCAGCAAAAACAGAAAAGACACAAUCCUCGGCGGAACAUCUUACACUGGAUGAUGAGUUUCCGGUGCUCAUCGCGGGAGUCUUCCAUGGUGUAGAGGGUUUGCUUGGUGAUGCUGUUCAGGUCCACGUUCCUCCAGUCUUCCAGCAUUUGGAAUGUGAUAUCUGCACUGUGGAUCACGGUCCGAGAUGCCUGUAAUCCAAGCCAAUCAACUCAUUAGCUCAAGGGUUGUUAGGUUAAAACCCCUGCGCAUUAUUUUCUUUUUAAUGAAUCUGCAGUGUUCUGCAGCUGUUUUGAAAUUCCGGAACAUUCAAUUUCAGGAAAUCAGAAGACCAUAACUCAGUCCAUAAUUCAGAAGACCCAUACAGUCUUUUCUCUUGGAGGUCUCUUUUCUCAGCUCUAUAAAAAAUUACUCCAAGGUGGCCGAGGCUAGACCAAACCCUGCUGUUCCCAGCCCCUUUGGUCUGGACCCCUGGGGAACAACGGGAUGAAGCCCAGAGAUCUGUCAGCCUUCUGACCUGAGCUUGCAGGAGCUCUGUGCUUAGUAACCCAUGUGUCUCUAGCAUUGGAGAAGCAAUGGGCCUAGAGCUUGGACUGGUCUGUGGGCCUAUGACAACUUUAAUCCCAGCCAUCUUACAAUGUGUAUUUUUUCAUAUACAUGCAUUCUGAAGCAGUUUAUGGUCUAGCUUUCUGUUUUUUGCUUUUUGGUUUUUAGGUGACUACAAUCCAUUUUGCAGGUGACUACAAUAUGAACAACUGAGAGGGAAGAAAAGGGAAACAAAACCCAAAGACUCCAUUGCUCAUUACUGUGCAUGUGAUGCAUGUACGUGCCCAUGCUCACACGCACAUUCAACCUGUGGUUUCCUCAGCAAGCCCUCACAAGUAGAACUUCAGUUUGCAAGUUGGAACAAUACUUGGAACCACCAAGUUGGAACAAAGCUGAUAAAAGCAAAGAAAAACAUUUCCAGAAUCAUUUCCUUUACUUGCAUGUUUUUUAAAAAAAGUCUUUAAUAAAAUGGAAAAAAAAAAAAAAAGAUUUCCGAUACACAUGGCCAUUAAACAUCUCCUAAUGCUUGUGAAUUUCCAGGCAAAGUAAGUACUGACAACCCCUUUUACCUCUAGACUGCCUGAGCACAAGGAACUCUUAUUUAAAUCACUGUAGAAUUCUUUCCAGGUCUGAGGCCUAGAGUAUAUGAAUAUGUGAGUUGGGUCCAUUUCUAAUGAUAAUGAAAACAACUAAAGGUUAAGGUCUGGGAUUCUGGACUCAAAUAUAUUUAAUUCAAAUCCUGGCCUUGCUGCUAACCACCUGACUGUCUUGGGGCAAGCCAGCAGAUUAACCUCAGUUUCCUGAUCAAUAAAAUGGAGGUGUAAUAAUACCUGCCUCUUCAGGAGGACAGCUGUUUGAGGGUUCCUUGAGAUAAUGUUUGAAAAGGGCAGAGUUUAGGGAAUAAAGGCUCACUAAAGGAGCUACCAUUAAUCAGGCCGUUCUCUGUGUGGUGAUGCACAAACACCUCAGGGCUGUGGCACGUGGUGCUGCUGCCCACUGGAGCAUUCCUCUCCCCCCCUGCCAGGCAAUCCUGCCAUCACAUGUGCUCCAACUUCAGAGCCACACCCGUGGAGCCACCUCCUCUAACCACCAUAUCUCAAUCACACUACGUGCCCCGUUAUUCUCUAUUUCUGCUGUUUCCCUCCUAACACUUAGCACUUUUAAUUAAUUAUUUUUUG